Molecule: ribosomal RNA, 313 nt
Filed under: uncultured bacterium
Lineage: Bacteria
Description: bacterial SSU rRNA
Rfam family: Bacterial small subunit ribosomal RNA
Source: RNAcentral
AUUGAACGCUGGCGGCAGGCUUAACACAUGCAAGUCGAACGGUAACGGGGAGGGAGGUUACUUUCUCUGCUGACGAGUGGCGGACAGGCGAGUAAAGCUUGGGAAUCUGGCCAAUGGAGGGGGAUAGCCACGGGAAACUGUGGGUAAUACCGCGUAAUGUCUAAGGACCAAAGGGGUGGGACUGAGAGGCCACCUGCCAUUUGAUGAGCCCAAGUGGGAUUAGGUAGUUGGUGAGGUAAGGGCUCACCAAGCUGACGAUCUCUAGCUGGUCUGAGAGGAUGGCCAGCCACACUGGGACUGAGACACGGUCCAG